This 80-nucleotide transfer RNA is filed under the name Maribacter ulvicola. Its description in RNAcentral is "tRNA_Leu_CAA". It matches the Rfam family "tRNA". From Rfam's summary of the family: Transfer RNA (tRNA) molecules are approximately 80 nucleotides in length. Their secondary structure includes four short double-helical elements and three loops (D, anti-codon, and T loops). Further hydrogen bonds mediate the characteristic L-shaped molecular structure. tRNAs have two regions of fundamental functional importance: the anti-codon, which is responsible for specific mRNA codon recognition, and the 3' end, to which the tRNAs corresponding amino acid is attached (by aminoacyl-tRNA synthetases). tRNAs cope with the degeneracy of the genetic code in two manners: having more than one tRNA (with a specific anti-codon) for a particular amino acid; and 'wobble' base-pairing, i.e. permitting non-standard base-pairing at the 3rd anti-codon position. Lineage: Bacteria; Pseudomonadati; Bacteroidota; Flavobacteriia; Flavobacteriales; Flavobacteriaceae. RNAcentral also lists the same sequence under 2 other names. The record is from RNAcentral.
GCCUCGGUGGCGGAAUUGGUAGACGCGCCGGAUUCAAAAUCCGGUUCUAACGAGUGCGGGUUCGAUUCCCGCCCGAGGUA